RNAcentral lists this ribosomal RNA (255 nucleotides) under uncultured bacterium. RNAcentral describes it as "partial 16S ribosomal RNA". It matches the Rfam family "Bacterial small subunit ribosomal RNA", at positions 524 to 776 of the family's 1533-position model. The record is from RNAcentral.
UACGUAGGGUGCAAGCGUUAAUCGGAAUUACUGGGCGUAAAGGGCGCGCAGGCGGCUGCUCAAGUCAGGCGUGAAAGGCCUGGGCUCAACCCGGGAAUUGCGCUUGAGACUGGGCUGGCUUGAGUGCGGGAGAGGAUGGUGGAAUUCCCAGUGUAGAGGUGAAAAUUCGUAGAUAUUCGCAAGAACACCAGUGGCGAAGGCGGCUCACUGGCUCGUAACUGACGCUCAUGCACGACAGCGUGGGGAUCAAACAGG